RNAcentral lists this ribosomal RNA (729 nucleotides) under uncultured Arcobacter sp. Its description in RNAcentral is "bacterial SSU rRNA". It matches the Rfam family "Bacterial small subunit ribosomal RNA", at positions 56 to 796 of the family's 1533-position model. The record is from RNAcentral. Lineage: Bacteria; Pseudomonadati; Campylobacterota; Epsilonproteobacteria; Campylobacterales; Arcobacteraceae.
UGCGAGUCGAACGAGAACGGGUUAUAGCUUGCUAUAACUGUCAGCUAAGUGGCGCACGGGUGAGUAAUAUAUAGUUAACCUGCCCUAGAGAGAGGGAUAACGUUUGGAAACGGACGCUAAUACCUCAUAUGCCUUUAAUACAUAAGUAUGCAAGGGAAACAUUUAUGGCUCUAGGAUGGGACUGUACGGUAUCAGUUAGUUGGUGAGGUAAUGGCUCACCAAGACAAUGACACCUAACUGGUUUGAGAGGAUGAUCAGUCACACUGGAACUGAGACACGGUCCAGACUCCUACGGGAGGCAGCAGUGGGGAAUAUUGCACAAUGGACGAAAGUCUGAUGCAGCAACGCCGCGUGGAGGAUGACACAUUUCGGUGCGUAAACUCCUUUUAUAUAGGAAGAUAAUGACGGUACUAUAUGAAUAAGCACCGGCUAACUCCGUGCCAGCAGCCGCGGUAAUACGGAGGGUGCAAGCGUUACUCGGAAUCACUGGGCGUAAAGAGCGUGUAGGCGGAUAGGUAAGUCAGAAGUGAAAUCCAAUAGCUCAACUAUUGAACUGCUUUUGAAACUGCUUGUCUAGAAUAUGGGAGAGGUAGAUGGAAUUUCUGGUGUAGGGGUAAAAUCCGUAGAGAUCAGAACGAAUACCGAUUGCGAAGGCGAUCUACUGGAACAUUAUUGACGCUGAGACGCGAAAGCGUGGGGAGCAAACAGGAUUAGAUACCCUGGUAGUCC